UGCCAGUAGUCAUAUGCUUGUUUCAAAGAUUAAGCCAUGCAUGUCUAAGCAGAGCCCUUGAAUGGUAAAGCCGCGAAUGGCUCAUUACAACAGCCACAGUUUAUUGGGUCUCCAUUUACUUGGAUAACUGAGCUAAUUGUUGAGCUAAUACACGCACCAAAGCUUCGACCUCACGGGAGGAGCGCAUUUAUUAGAACAAAACCAAUCGGACUUCGGUCCGUCCAUUGGUGAAUCUAAAUAACUUAGCCGAUCGCAUGGUCUCGCACCGGCGACUCACCUUUCAAAUGUCUGCCUUAUCACCUUUCGAUGGUAGUUUAUACGCCUACCAUGGGUUUUACGGGUAACGGAGAAUAAGGGUUCGACUCCGGAGAGGGAGCCUGAGAAACGGCUACCACAUCCAAGGAAGGCAGCAGGCACGCAAAUUACCCACUCCCGGCACGGGGAGGUAGUGACGAAAAAUAACGAGGCGGUUCUCUAUGAGGCCCGCCAUCGGAAUGGGUACAAUCUAAAUCCUUUAACGAGGAACUAUUG
Molecule: ribosomal RNA, 531 nt
Filed under: uncultured eukaryote
Lineage: Eukaryota
Description: bacterial SSU rRNA
Rfam family: Eukaryotic small subunit ribosomal RNA
Source: RNAcentral